AAUUUCCCUGUGUCCUUUCCUAUGGCUGUGGUUGGAGAGACGUAGAGAGAGGCUGCUGCGAAGUCACAAUCCAGCCACACGGCAUUGAUCCUGUCAUGGCUGGUGUGGUUGUGUCCACACGUGACCUGAACAUCCUUCCCACUCAGUACCAAAUACAGUCAAUUCUGUGGCUUGAUGGUGCGUGGACAUAACAUUCAGAUAUCGCCCAUGAUGAGGAAACAGAAGCUGGGAUAUGUGAGUAAACAUUUCCAAGGUCCUGCAGCUAAUCAAUGGUUGACAACUUCUUUCCUCUGCCUAUGUUGCCAUCCAUGUCAUGGUUUGUGUCAAGACUCUAGGAGAAGUCUACCAUCAGCACCACAGCUACUGUGCACAAAUCCAGAAUGCCAGACUGAAGUCAGAAGGAAAGAGAUGAUGCAGCUCAUUGCUGAUGCUGAGAUCCAACGUCCAGUGCCUGAGUACCCCUGGAUUCUGAGCACUAGGGGCUGGACUGUGGAGACCAUCAGUUCAUAACAUCCUGUCCCUGCUCCCUGCUGUAGAUGACUGAGACCAGAAAGAAGAUUGGAAAAAUCUCCCAUGACCAAGGAAAAUUGUGAAAAAUAUUUCUGAUAUUUUGUCUAUGCAUUUUAUUUUUGAGGGUGUUUUUUAUAUUAGUGUGACUAUUUUGUAUUUCCUACCCUGUUGUAAACUUUUUAAAAAUUGCUCUUACAGUUAUUACUAAGUAUAUGAUUUAAAAUCCCUAAUUAGGGUUCUUAAACAAGGGAGAAGCACUCUCAUACCCCUAGAACAAGAUGAACAAAAGAAGGAGGAAAAAUCUUGACCUCCGUAAGAUCCAGGAUGGCACGUGCAAGGCACUGACACAGCAUCUGCCGGCAUCACUGACUCUCCUGGACCCCAGAAGCCCAGUUCCCCAGGCUCUGAAACCCUGCAGCAAUGAAAAGGAAGCACAGGCAAACCAUAAGGAAGAUAAUUUUUCUACUAAAAAAUAAAUAGAAAUGCAUCCUUAGAGGCAGGUUUCAUGAGGACACAGAGAAUCCGGUUUUGUGUGUGCCUGAUUUCGUUUUUCUGUCAAAGAGAUACAAAACAAUCAACUGAGUUAUCUUGAACUUACAAAGAUUAAAAAUAAUCAAUUCCUGUUACUAUUUUCAAUUUUUCCCCCAUUUUACUUCUUUAGGUAUGAAGAAAUGUAGCCUAUUAAAACCUGGAUUAAUAAAAACCUUUCAUUAACUUUU
RNAcentral lists this long non-coding RNA (1229 nucleotides) under Homo sapiens (human). RNAcentral describes it as "non-protein coding lnc-HNRNPA2B1-16:7". The record is from RNAcentral. Lineage: Eukaryota; Metazoa; Chordata; Mammalia; Primates; Hominidae.